GUUUUGUCAGCUGUGUUAAAUGUAAUAAAUGGUAAUAAUUAGUAGUUAGUAAUUCUACAGUAACAGCACUUACAAAUUUCAUGAUUAAGUUUAUUUUGUUUAUAAUGAUUAUAAUGGAGCAGGGUAACAAAACCCCCAAAAAUUUCCAUAGCAGAAUAUUUUUUCGGACUAUUAUGACUAUUCAAGCCAUCUUAUGAUUAAAUUAAUAUCAUAACAUCACUGAUGUUAUAUCACUUUAUAAUAAUGUUUUAGUCUCAGGAUGUCAGCAGUUGUCACUAUUUAUCAAUUAUUAUACAAUUGUUUUCAAUGCUGCUACAGAAACAUACUUUUUAAUUGUUAAUAUUUUAAACAACUAUUUUAAAUAUUAAUAUUUAAUUAAUUAAAAUAUCCCUGCUAUGUUAAAGACUCCAUAUUUAAAAACUGUAUUAUUAUGAAGAUCAUCAUCAUCAUUUAAUGCAUUUUCCAGAUUUUAGCAAUUGUAGAAAAACCUUUAAAUGCUGAUGUAUGAGACUGUUCAAAUCAAUAAACAAACAAAUGCAUACGAUAUGGAAGCUUUUUUGACGUAUAAAAUAUUUUCUUCAUUUCGAUGUAACCUUUCAUUCACUUUCAUCAUCAUUUAUCCGCCUUCAGUGCCUAUGGUUGGAUUUAUAAAGAGUUUGCUCCCUGACGCUAGAUGGCACUCAAGCCUUUCAAUACAAUGAAUUUAAACCUGCACUCGAAACAAAGGAGAAAGAAGUGUUUUUGCCUACUUCUUUAUUUACAGUGAUUGACCUCGAACUACAUGAACGUUUAAAGGCACGUGAAGCCCACAUCAGCUUCAUUGUUGUGAGAAACCUGGGCAGUGUGCUGUCCUUAGAAGAUCUGGUCGUUUCGUGUAUCACCUGAAAAAGUACUACCAGAAACCCACCAUUCUCAGACAGAGCCUUGUGUCUGUGAGGGAGCACUGCUUGGCCAGUAUAUCCAUGCCUCGGAUUAGCUGUGGGCUGGAUGAACUGUAAUGGAAAAAUGUGUCUUCCAUUAUCUCAGAAGUCUUCUAGAACACAAAAAUCUCCAUCACUGAGUACACAAUCUAGACCACGGCAGGUCUGAAACUCACAUUAUUUCUUAACCC
This is a long non-coding RNA of Cyprinus carpio (common carp), 1111 nucleotides long. RefSeq lists it as uncharacterized. The transcript has 4 exons. NCBI's taxonomy places the organism in Eukaryota, Metazoa, Chordata, Actinopteri, Cypriniformes, Cyprinidae. The record is from RefSeq and is a predicted model, not a curated record.